UACGUAGGUGGCAAGCGUUGUCCGGAAUUAUUGGGCGUAAAGCGCGCGCAGGCGGUCCUUUAAGUCUGAUGUGAAAGCCCACGGCUCAACCGUGGAGGGUCAUUGGAAACUGAGGGACUUGAGUGCAGGAGAGAAGAGUGGAAUUCCUGGUGUAGCGGUGAAAUGCGCAGAUAUCAGGAGGAACACCGGUGGCGAAGGCGGAUCUCUGGGCCUUACCUGACGCUCAGGCGCGAAAGCUAGGGGAGCGAACUGG
This 253-nucleotide ribosomal RNA is filed under the name uncultured bacterium. Its description in RNAcentral is "partial 16S ribosomal RNA". It matches the Rfam family "Bacterial small subunit ribosomal RNA", at positions 524 to 776 of the family's 1533-position model. The record is from RNAcentral.